This 439-nucleotide ribosomal RNA is filed under the name uncultured bacterium. RNAcentral describes it as "partial 16S ribosomal RNA". It matches the Rfam family "Bacterial small subunit ribosomal RNA", at positions 338 to 795 of the family's 1533-position model. The record is from RNAcentral.
GCUACGGGUGGCAGCAGUGGGGAAUAUUGCACAAUGGGCGAAAGCCUGAUGCAGCAACGCCGCGUGAGCGAUGAAGGCCUUCGGGUCGUAAAGCUCUGUCCUCAAGGAAGAGAAUGACGGUACUUGAGGAGGAAGCCCCGGCUAACGACGUGCCAGCAGCCGCGGUAAUACGUAGGGGGCGAGCGUUAUCCGGAAUUACUGGGCGUACAGGGUGCGUAGGUGGUUUCUUAAGUCAGAGGUGAAAGGCUACGGCUCAACCGUAGUAAGCCUUUGAAACGGGGAAACUUGAGUGCAGGAGAGGCGAGUGGAAUUCCUAGUGUAGCGGUGACAUGCGUAGAUAUUAGGAGGAACCCCAGUUGCGAAGGCGGCUCUCUGGACUGUACCUGACACUGAGGCACGAAAGCGUGGGGAGCAAACAGGAUUAGAUACCCUUGUAGUC